GACCCGAGAGCACCCCCUAGUCGUAACCGGCGUACUCGACCUCUCGGAGGUCUAAUACAAGCCUCUUAGCAUUCAUUCAUCGCAUAAAACUAAAAACCAUAAUGAAUUAAAAACUUUCUUUACAAAGAAGACAUUUCAUUAAAACAGUAAGCGGAAGACUUCUAGACUUUAUACACUUAUGUCUCAAACCAUCUAAUACUUUGAAUACAACAUUGGGAU
This 219-nucleotide long non-coding RNA is filed under the name Solanum tuberosum (potato). RNAcentral describes it as "long non-coding RNA (STUB_LNC009079)". Lineage: Eukaryota; Viridiplantae; Streptophyta; Magnoliopsida; Solanales; Solanaceae. The record is from RNAcentral.